Molecule: ribosomal RNA, 253 nt
Filed under: uncultured bacterium
Lineage: Bacteria
Description: partial 16S ribosomal RNA
Rfam family: Bacterial small subunit ribosomal RNA
Source: RNAcentral
GACGGAAGGUGCAAGCGUUGCUCGGAAUCAUUGGGCGUAAAGGGUGCGUAGGCGGCUUGGGAAGUCUGGUGUGAAAGCCCCGGGCUCAGCCCGGGAAGGGCACUAGAAACUGCCAAGCUGGAGUGCCGGAGGGGAGAGUGGAAUUCCUGGUGUAGCGGUGAAAUGCGUAGAGAUCAGGAGGAAUACCGGUGGCGAAAGCGACUCUCUGGACGGCAACUGACGCUGAGGCACGAAAGCGUGGGGAGCAAACAGG